Solea senegalensis (Senegalese sole) is the source of this 242-nucleotide long non-coding RNA. RefSeq lists it as uncharacterized. The record is from RefSeq and is a predicted model, not a curated record. Lineage: Eukaryota; Metazoa; Chordata; Actinopteri; Pleuronectiformes; Soleidae. The transcript is spliced from 3 exons.
UGGAUGUGAGGACCUGUCACACUGGACCAGAGCUGAAGGCUGCAGCUCAUUCCUGGAUCAGAGGACUCCUUAUUGGACACCACGACCUGGAGAAGUCCCGUCCUGGAUGGCUGCGGUGAUGACCUAGUCCAAGAUGAACUGACCCUUCUACGACGAGGACUUUGCCCAAGAUGAACCAACCUUUUCCAUCUCUUUUCCACGGGAUGUCUUCAGAUGCUGGACCUUGCCAAACUGUACACAUG